Molecule: ribosomal RNA, 406 nt
Filed under: uncultured bacterium
Lineage: Bacteria
Description: partial 16S ribosomal RNA
Rfam family: Bacterial small subunit ribosomal RNA
Source: RNAcentral
AUUGAACGCUGGCGGCAGGCCUAACACAUUCAAGUCGAACGAGUUGCGGACGGGUGAGCAAUGUCUGGGAACCUUCCCGAUUGGGGGGGAUAACUACUGGAAACGUUAGCUAAUACCGCUUACCAUCUGAUGUGCCCCGAUGGGAUUAGCUAGUAGGUGGGGUAACGGUUCACCUCGGCCACGAUUCCUAGCUGGUCUGAGAGGAUGACGAGCCACCCUGGAACUGAGACACGGUCCAGAGUCUUACGGGAGGCAGCAGUGGGGAAUAUUUGACAAUGGGCGCAAGCCUGAUGCAGCCAUGCCGCGUGUAUGAAGAAGGCCGUCGGGUUGUAAAGUAAUCUCAGCGAGGAGGCUUUACUCGCAGAAGAAGCAACGGCUAACCCCGGGCCAGCAGCCGCGGUAAUAC